This 432-nucleotide unclassified non-coding RNA is filed under the name soil metagenome. RNAcentral's name for it is "partial contains 5.8S ribosomal RNA, internal transcribed spacer 2, and large subunit ribosomal RNA". The stretch from base 1 to 120 matches the Rfam family "5.8S ribosomal RNA", at positions 35 to 154 of the family's 154-position model. The record is from RNAcentral.
GAUGAAGAACGCAGCGAAAUGCGAUACGUAAUGUGAAUUGCAGAAUUCAGUGAAUCAUCGAAUCUUUGAACGCAUAUUGCGCUCUCUGGUAUUCCGGAGAGCAGGCUUGUUUGAGUAUCAGUAAACACCUCAACUUCCAUAUCUUUUUUGAAAUGGGAGUUGGACUUGAGUGAUCCCAACGCUUUUCCUCACCGAAAAGUGGCGGGUUACUUGAAAUGCAGGUGCAGCUGGACUUUUCUCUGAGCUAUAAGCAUAUCUAUUUAGUCUGCCUAAAAAACAGAUUAUUACCUUUGCUGCAGCUAACAUAAAGGAGAUUAGUUCUUGUGCUGACUGAUGCAGGAUUCACAAAGACGGCUUCGGCCGACUUUGUAAACUCGAUCUCAAAUCAAGUAAGACUACCCGCUGAACUUAAGCAUAUCAAUAAGCGGAGGA